This 400-nucleotide ribosomal RNA is filed under the name Bacillus anthracis (anthrax bacterium). RNAcentral's name for it is "bacterial SSU rRNA". It matches the Rfam family "Bacterial small subunit ribosomal RNA", at positions 37 to 420 of the family's 1533-position model. Lineage: Bacteria; Bacillati; Bacillota; Bacilli; Caryophanales; Bacillaceae. The record is from RNAcentral.
GGGGAAGUGGCGGCGUGCCUAUACAUGCAGUCGAGCGAAUGGAUUAAGAGCUUGCUCUUAUGAAGUUAGCGGCGGACGGGUGAGUAACACGUGGGUAACCUGCCCAUAAGACUGGGAUAACUCCGGGAAACCGGGGCUAAUACCGGAUAACAUUUUGAACCGCAUGGUUCGAAAUUGAAAGGCGGCUUCGGCUGUCACUUAUGGAUGGACCCGCGUCGCAUUAGCUAGUUGGUGAGGUAACGGCUCACCAAGGCAACGAUGCGUAGCCGACCUGAGAGGGUGAUCGGCCACACUGGGACUGAGACACGGCCCAGACUCCUACGGGAGGCAGCAGUAGGGAAUCUUCCGCAAUGGACGAAAGUCUGACGGAGCAACGCCGCGUGAGUGAUGAAGGCUUUCG